Molecule: transfer RNA, 67 nt
Filed under: Marmota monax (woodchuck)
Lineage: Eukaryota; Metazoa; Chordata; Mammalia; Rodentia; Sciuridae
Description: tRNA.Ala
Source: RNAcentral
GGCUAUAGCUCAGUGGUAGAGUGCUUGCCUAGCAUGUGUGAGGCACUGGGUUUGAUUCUCAGCACCA